RNAcentral lists this unclassified non-coding RNA (356 nucleotides) under Hevea brasiliensis (rubber tree). The record is from RNAcentral. Lineage: Eukaryota; Viridiplantae; Streptophyta; Magnoliopsida; Malpighiales; Euphorbiaceae.
AGCAAUGUUUGUGAGCUAGAUUUGGUAUUUAACUUUCACAAGGUUUAUCUGAUACUUGAUGAAUUUAUUCUUGCUGGGGAGCUCCAAGAAACAAGCAAGAAGGCAAUAAUAGAAAGAAUGGGCGAAUUGGAGAAGCUCGAGUAGACAUCUGAUUUGUAGUUGAGAGCAUUUAGAGAUUUCAUUUUUCAUUUUCUUAUUCUUUUCCCCCACCUUGUUUUGUUCCAGUUCUGCAUUUAUUUGUUUGCUCACUUGGGACAGCCAGUUCUUCCCUUGUAAUAUUUGAAAAAUUAAAGCCUGAAAAUUUCAUAUGUACAUCGCCCUUGGUGUUUGGAACAAUGGGGCUAAUCAUUUAUUAU